CUAAUACCGGAUAGGAUCUUCUCCUUCAUGGGAGAUGAUUGAAAGAUGGUUUCGGCUAUCACUUACAGAUGGGCCCGCGGUGCAUUAGCUAGUUGGUGAGGUAACGGCUCACCAAGGCAACGAUGCAUAGCCGACCUGAGAGGGUGAUCGGCCACACUGGGACUGAGACACGGCCCAGACUCCUACGGGAGGCAGCAGUAGGGAAUCUUCCGCAAUGGACGAAAGUCUGACGGAGCAACGCCGCGUGAGUGAUGAAGGCUUUCGGGUCGUAAAACUCUGUUGUUAGGGAAGAACAAGUACGAGAGUAACUGCUCGUACCUUGACGGUACCUAACCAGAAAGCCACGGCUAACUACGUGCCAGCAGCCGCGGUAAUACGUAGGUGGCAAGCGUUAUCCGGAAUUAUUGGGCGUAAAGCGCGCGCAGGCGGUUUCUUAAGUCUGAUGUGAAAGCCCACGGCUCAACCGUGGAGGGUCAUUGGAAACUGGGGAACUUGAGUGCAGAAGAGAAAAGCGGAAUUCCACGUGUAGCGGUGAAAUGCGUAGAGAUGUGGAGGAACACCAGUGGCGAAGGCGGCUUUUUGGUCUGU
Molecule: ribosomal RNA, 588 nt
Filed under: marine bacterium SIMO-4488
Lineage: Bacteria
Description: bacterial SSU rRNA
Rfam family: Bacterial small subunit ribosomal RNA
Source: RNAcentral